AAAUUUCAGCGGGACUGACGCAUUUUUCGAGAAGCUAGCGAGGAAAUCCUUUUUUCAGCCAUCAGAUUCUCUAUAAAGUUGUAACAGAGUGAACAUCGCUGUCCGGACCGGAGCACCACGCUGGCCUGCAUCGUCCCGGCUCAGAUCCUGAUGCUCCGGUGCGUCUGGGCCUUAUCUCGGCGAUGCACCAGGCGGCACCUUUACCUGGCUGAGCAUGGGGAGUGAGGCAGAUGGACGGCUGGUGAUAGAGACAGUAAACUCCAUGAACUGGCCCUGUGUAGUAAGCCUGCCUGCCACUGAGGGGCGCUGCACACUCUGAUACAGCAGAUCUCCCUCUCUCCUGAUGCAGUCCCACCUCAGGCAGUGAAAAUACUCAAAAACAUGUGAACAGUGAAUGAAUGAAUGUGAAUUCAUGUCAGCAGGGACGGAGCGGAUUUACACACCUUUUUCAUCUGAAAAACAGGGCAUGCUUCACUUUUGAUGAAUACGAAUCUUCAUGAGAUAAAUAAACAGGAGGCAGCAUCAUCAAUAUCAGACAAAUUAUAUAAGUUAGAGGUUAUAAGAAGGAAUCUAAUAAAGGUGGAAGAGCAUUAUGGCUUGGCUUGUGAUCAGGUACCAUAAUAUCUCUACACGCAGUUUUUGCCACUUGAAAUGGGUAAUCUAUAAAAUCAUCUGAAGUGGAUGUAGAGCUGCAACAAGUUAUUUUCACAGCUUAUUAAUUUACAAUAAAUAUAUGUACUUUUAAAUUAAUUAAUUUGAAGCAUUUCACCUAUAAGCUAAAAGUAAUGUAUUCAAAUGUCUUCAGCCAAAAAAAGAAAAAAAAGAAGAAAAAAAAACACCGCAAAGUAUUAAUGGGAUCUUCAUGAAGCUGGAACCAGAUGUGUUUGGCAUUCUUACUUGAUAAAUAAGUGAAAUGAUUUAUCGACUAUCAA
Molecule: long non-coding RNA, 932 nt
Organism: Myripristis murdjan (pinecone soldierfish)
Lineage: Eukaryota; Metazoa; Chordata; Actinopteri; Holocentriformes; Holocentridae
Exons: 3
Source: RefSeq, a predicted model, not a curated record